GUUUUUAAAAAAUUAACUCAGUUGGUUAUAGUGUGGUGCUAAUAACGACAAAGUCACAUGUUCGACCCCUGUAGUGAGCA
Non-coding RNA from Massospora cicadina, 80 nucleotides. NCBI's taxonomy places the organism in Eukaryota, Fungi, Entomophthoromycota, Entomophthoromycetes, Entomophthorales, Entomophthoraceae. The record is from the annotation of a GenBank genome assembly.